Long non-coding RNA from Oncorhynchus tshawytscha (Chinook salmon), 1614 nucleotides. NCBI's taxonomy places the organism in Eukaryota, Metazoa, Chordata, Actinopteri, Salmoniformes, Salmonidae. The record is from Ensembl.
GGGAGAGAUGGAGACAGAUGCAGGGUGGAUGGACAGAGAUGUGGAGGGAGAGACCGAGGGAGCUGGAGACAGAUGCAGGGUGGAUGGACAGAGAUGUGGAGGGAGAGACCGAGGGAGAUGGAGACAGAUGCAGGGUGGAUGGACAGAGAUGUGGAGGGAGAGACCGAGAGAGAUGGAGACAGAUGCAGGGUGGCUGGACAGACAGGGGGAAGAUGGAUGGCAGCAGAGAGAGACAGGAUAGAUGGGAGUGAUGCACUACCCUAUGGACCCUGGUCAGAAGUAGUGCAUUAUAUAGGGAAUAGGGUGCCUUUUGGGACGUAGGUUCAUUCUGCUGGAAUAGAACACUAAAUCACUAAGAAUCUGUCCUGAGGCUGGGGAGGUUUCUGAUUGGAUUAGAACUGAGGCUGGGGAGAUUUCUGAUUAGAACUGUGGCUGGGGAGGUUUCUGAUUGGAUUAGAACUGUGGCUGGGGAGGUUUCUGAUUGGAUUAGAACUGUGGCUGGGGAGGUUUCUGAUUGGAUUAGAACUGAGGCUGGAGAGGUUUCUGAUUGGAUUAGAACUGUGCUGGGGAGGUUUCUGAUUGGAUUAGAACUGUGCUGGGGAGGUUUCUGAUUGGAUUAGAACUCUGUUGGGGAGGCAGGGGCUGCUUUUCACAGACACACAUAUUUCCACACUCCCCGCUAGUGCAAACAUGCAUCAGAACAGUAACUGCGUCAUCGCUCUCAGAGACAUGUAAGGGUGUGUCACAACACAGAACCGACUGAUACUGUAUGUUAAUAUGGUAACAGGUUCUGUUCUAACUAACCAAACCAUUCAGAGAGAGGUGUCUGUCUGUGUCUGUCUGUGUCUGUCUGUGUCUGUCUGUGUCUGUCUCUCUCUCUGACUGUCUGUCUGUCUCUGACUGUCUGACUGUCUGUCUGUCUCUCUGUGUCUGUCUGUCUGUCUCUGACUGUCUGUGUCUAUCUCUGUCUGUCUGACUGUCUGUCUGACUGACUGUAAUGUUCUGUUGCCCCGUCAGGCCCACUGUAAUGUUCUGGUCCCCCGUCAGGCCCACUAUAAUGUUCUGUUGCCCCGUCAGGCCCACUGUAAUAUUCUGUUGCCCCGUCAGGCCCACUGUAAUGUUCUGUUCCCCCGUCAGGCCCACUGUAAUGUUCUGUUGCCCCGUCAGGCCCACUGUAAUGUUCUGUUGCCCCGUCAGGCCCACUGUAAUGUUCUGUUGCCCCGUCAGGCCCACUGUAAUGUUCUGUUCCCCGUCAGGCCCACUGUAAUGUUCUGUUUCCCCGUCAGGCCCACUGUAAUGUUCUGUUGCCCCGUCAGGCCCACUGUAAUGUUCUGUUUCCCCGUCAGGCCCACUGUAAUGUUCUGUUGCCCCGUCAGGCCCACUAUAAUGUUCUGGUCCCCCGUCAGGCCCAUUAUAAUAUUCUGUUGCACCGUCAGGCCCACUAUAAUGUUCUGGUCCCCCGUCAGGCCCACUAUAAUUUUCUGUGCUAUAACAGUCUGGAGGCUCAGUGGCUGUGAAAUGAGACGAACUAUAGCAGGAUUGGUUGGUCCUAAUUUAACAGGAGCAGGAUUGGUUGGUCCUAAUUUAACAGGAGCAGGAUUGGUUGGUCCUAAU